Molecule: long non-coding RNA, 948 nt
Filed under: Calidris pugnax (ruff)
Lineage: Eukaryota; Metazoa; Chordata; Aves; Charadriiformes; Scolopacidae
Description: lncRNA (ENSCPUG00000008488.1)
Source: RNAcentral
AUGAUCGAGUCCACCCCACCCAAGCUUGUUGAUGCUUUAGCAACUGUUCUUCCCCAUCGCUGCAUCUCCUUUCACAUGGGACUUCUUCCGGCAGAAGCUGCAGAUUGCAGACGCCCAGCUAAAAGCCAAGGAGUUUGCUGUACCCCAGGAGGAGCAAGCAAUGACCUUCAGUGACAGCGUUGUCUGGCAGCGGAGAAAAGGCAUCCCAGCACCGAGCACCAAAGCCAGCAGUGGUGCUGAUGACACAGGAGGUAUAAAACCAGAAGGUACCACCUCCAGCCCCAAAACCUCGCAGCAGAGAAACCGCCUUACUCUAGUCCUUCCCGUUGCAGAAGGCUACCUGCCAAAGUACUACCCUGCCACCGAGCUGGCGGCGAUCCAGGCAGAGGCAUCGGAGAGGCCGCGGGCUCUCGCUGAGCUGGGGAACGAGCCGUCUUGUUGCCAACAUCUUCCAGCUGCUGCUCAGACUGCUGGAACAGCAGGGAUGUUUCUGCGCAAGCAGAAGCUGAUCCCGGUCUGGCCCACCUACUGGCAAUUCGCCAUGGAGACGUCCCGGGCAAGGCAGCAUGAUGCUCAGCAAAACAAGAACAUGAGCCUGAGCUCAUCUGCUUUGUUGGAAGGAACUGGGUGUCCGAGUACAAGGACAACUACAGCGUUUUCUCGCAGAGGCUGGACCAGUCAUCUCCAGUGCCUGCUGUGGGGCUGUGCACUGUGCUGUCCUUUGGGGAAGGGACUGCCAUAGACACAGCCCAGUGAGUGGUGCUACAGGUGGCCGUGCACAGCUCACUGAAAGCCACUGUUUCUCAGAAGGCUGCAAGGACAUUCAAAGGCUGACCCUCAGACUCAUCACCAAGAAAUCAACUUUUCCUCUUGCUUUGAUGAAAAUUCUUCCUGUGGCCACCACCCAACCCACAAUUAUGCAAUAAAUCAUUCAGCAGGUGCUUAACA